This 497-nucleotide ribosomal RNA is filed under the name uncultured bacterium. RNAcentral's name for it is "partial 16S ribosomal RNA". It matches the Rfam family "Bacterial small subunit ribosomal RNA", at positions 28 to 507 of the family's 1533-position model. The record is from RNAcentral.
GAUGAACGCUGGCGGCGUGCCUAAUACAUGCAAGUCGAGCGAACAGACGAGGAGCUUGCUCCUCUGACGUUAGCGGCGGACGGGUGAGUAACACGUGGAUAACCUACCUAUAAGACUGGGAUAACUUCGGGAAACCGGAGCUAAUACCGGAUAAUAUAUUGAACCGCAUGGUUCAAUAGUGAAAGACGGUUUUGCUGUCACUUAUAGAUGGAUCCGCGCCGCAUUAGCUAGUUGGUAAGGUAACGGCUUACCAAGGCAACGAUGCGUAGCCGACCUGAGAGGGUGAUCGGCCGCACGGGAACUGAGACACGGUCCAGACUCCUACGGGAGGCAGCAGUAGGGAAUCUUCCGCAAUGGGCGAAAGCUUGACGGAGCAACGCCGCGUGAGUGAUGAAGGUCUUCGGAUCGGAAAACUCUGUUAUUAGGGAAGAACAAAUGUGUAAGUAACUAUGCACGUCUUGACGGUACCUAAUCAGAAAGCCACGGCUAACUACGUG